GCGGUGGUGGUUCAGUGGUGGAAUUCGCACCUGCCGUGUGGGAGACCUGGGUUUGACUCCCAGCCAAUCCA
This 71-nucleotide transfer RNA is filed under the name Loxodonta africana (African savanna elephant). It matches the Rfam family "tRNA". Rfam says of the family: Transfer RNA (tRNA) molecules are approximately 80 nucleotides in length. Their secondary structure includes four short double-helical elements and three loops (D, anti-codon, and T loops). Lineage: Eukaryota; Metazoa; Chordata; Mammalia; Proboscidea; Elephantidae. The record is from Rfam by way of RNAcentral.